GACGAACCGUGCAAACGUUGUUCGGAAUCACUGGGCUUAAAGGGCGCGUAGGCGGGCAGCCAAGUCUGUGGUGAAAUCUUUCGGCUCAACCGGAAAAUUGCCGUGGAUACUGGCUGUCUUGAGGGAGGUAGGGGCCCGUGGAACUUCCGGUGGAGCGGUGAAAUGCGUUGAUAUCGGAAGGAACGCCGGUGGCGAAAGCGGCGGGCUGGAUCUCUUCUGACGCUGAGGCGCGAAAGCUAGGGGAGCAAACGGG
Molecule: ribosomal RNA, 253 nt
Filed under: uncultured bacterium
Lineage: Bacteria
Description: partial 16S ribosomal RNA
Rfam family: Bacterial small subunit ribosomal RNA
Source: RNAcentral